This is a non-coding RNA of Schistosoma mansoni, 48 nucleotides long. The record is from Rfam. Lineage: Eukaryota; Metazoa; Platyhelminthes; Trematoda; Strigeidida; Schistosomatidae.
AUCUAGCUGACGAGCCCUAAAUAGGACGAAACGCGCGUCAAACUGGAU